This 497-nucleotide ribosomal RNA is filed under the name uncultured bacterium. RNAcentral's name for it is "partial 16S ribosomal RNA". It matches the Rfam family "Bacterial small subunit ribosomal RNA", at positions 28 to 507 of the family's 1533-position model. The record is from RNAcentral.
GAUGAACGCUGGCGGCGUGCCUAAUACAUGCAAGUCGAGCGAACAGACGAGGAGCUUGCUCCUCUGACGUUAGCGGCGGACGGGUGAGUAACACGUGGAUAACCUACCUAUAAGACUGGGAUAACUUCGGGAAACCGGAGCUAAUACCGGAUAAUAUAUUGAACCGCAUGGUUCAAUAGUGAAAGACGGUUUUGCUGUCACUUAUAGAUGGAUCCGCGCCGCAUUAGCUAGUUGGUAAGGUAACGGCUUACCAAGGCAACGAUGCGUAGCCGACCUGAGAGGGUGAUCGGCCACACUGGAACUGAGACACGGUCCAGACUCCUACGGGAGGCAGCAGUAGGGAAUCUGCCGCAAUGGGCGAAAGCCUGACGGAGCAACGCCGCGUGAGUGAUGAAGGUCUUCGGAUCGUAAAACUCUGUUAUUAGGGAAGAACAAAUGUGUAAGUAACUAUGCACGUCUUGACGGUACCUAAUCAGAAAGACACGGCUAACUACGUG